Molecule: long non-coding RNA, 1411 nt
Organism: Cyprinus carpio carpio
Lineage: Eukaryota; Metazoa; Chordata; Actinopteri; Cypriniformes; Cyprinidae
Source: Ensembl
AUGUAUAAGCUCGAUCCAUGCAUAUACACCUACACACACUCGCGCAUACAUAUAAACUCGCUGCAUACCAAAUCCUACGCGGCGCCUCAUACACCUAUCAAAAAGAAACAGCACAAUCUUUUUUCCCACUCCUUGCCCUGCCUUCUGAAACUCCUCAAUUUUCACAAGGCUCAUCACUCUGAAAAGCGAGGUGUGCUCUGAUUGGCCAGCUAUCCAGUGCGUUGUGAUUGGCCGAAUGCAUCAAGUGUGUGACAGAUAUGUUACGCCCCUUAACAUAUUGUGAUGCCCUGUCCGGCCGGAGCGACGAGACAUAAACAUAAAACCCAUUAUAAACGUGAUAUAAACAUGAUUUCUAGUCGUGUUUUCUUUUGGAAGGCAAAAAUGAAGUAAUUUCGCUUUCUCAACGAAACAGUGUCACACACCGGAGGCCUAGAGUGAGGCGCGGCCGGCUUGAGUGAGCAGAGGCGGGGGUGGGCUUGAGAAUGACGUGCCGGUGGAUUCGACGAAAGAGCUUGCGGCAACCACAUGUGAUGACCCCGGGCUGGACUCCGCUUCAUCCAGGGAGAAAGCCGAUUCUGCGAUCCACAGUGCAAAGUUGAUGUAUUUCCUCAGUGACCAGCAUGACGAAGCGGAUAUCGUCCUCUUUUGGAAGGCCAAACAAAGUAGUUUUGCUUUCACAGUGAAACACACAGCGUCUAUACGACAUGGCUGCCGCGGCAACAACAAUACUACAACGAGAAUAAAAGUUACACCGCCUUUCUUUGCGUGAACAUCUGGGCAGCAUUAUGCAAAUCUUCCCACAUAGUGACGUAGAGAUGUGGGGGCGUGUUAGAACAAGCCGGUUUAUGGGGGUGUGGACGAGUAUUAACUUUGAUAAGGAAUAUCUCUUUGGAUUUGAGACUUUAUUCUUUGCAACUUUACAGAUCUUCUUUAUGCACCUAGAUCUUGUAACACUCCAAAGAGAAAGGAAAAAUUGAAAUCGCAUCAUAUGACCCCUUUAACUCAAUUUUGACCAGAUGUGUAGUUACUGCGCUUUGCCUUUGGAUGGCAGCAUAGUCCAGUGUUUCCAAUGCGGCAUAUAUAUGCAAACUCAUUCUCUGCCAGCAGGAGGCGCUGUUGGAGUGGGCGAGAUCAAGGUUUCCCUGGUAACGGCUUUACACAAAGCAGUGCUCCUUAUCAAACAUUACAUGCAAGAUUAAAUUAAAAUGACAUCCAUUGUUCUGAAGACAGUCGGUUUACAAAUGAUGAGUAGUUUAUACUUUAGAUUAGGGGAUGCAGAAAGCUUUGUAAAUGAUUUAUUCAUGCGUUUACACAACAGGUUUUGAAUACUUUGUAGUGUGUACUGCAUUGUAAGGGCUGACUGGUGAGGGUGUAGACAGAUGUCUUCUCUGACACACAUGGACUAUUUUAA